ACUCAACAAGAAUUAAUUUAAAAAGGUGAGUUUAGGUUGUAAAAGCAUGCCGUUCCUUUUAAGGACUACGGAUCCUUGAGCAGCCUGGUAGCCUUAAACCUGUUUUUAGGAGUUU
RNAcentral lists this small RNA (115 nucleotides) under Abyssalbus ytuae. Its description in RNAcentral is "6S-Flavo RNA". It matches the Rfam family "6S-Flavo RNA". Lineage: Bacteria; Pseudomonadati; Bacteroidota; Flavobacteriia; Flavobacteriales; Flavobacteriaceae. The record is from Rfam by way of RNAcentral.